This 623-nucleotide ribosomal RNA is filed under the name uncultured bacterium. RNAcentral's name for it is "bacterial SSU rRNA". It matches the Rfam family "Bacterial small subunit ribosomal RNA", at positions 64 to 676 of the family's 1533-position model. The record is from RNAcentral.
GAGGGGCAGCGGGGAGGAAGCUUGCUUUCUCCGCCGGCGACCGGCGCACGGGUGAGUAACACGUAUGCAACCUGCCCCUGUCAGGGGGACAACCCGCCGAAAGGCGGGCUAAACCCGCGUACAUGCCACCGGGGCAUCCCGGAGGCAGGAAAGGCUUCGGCCGGACAGGGAUGGGCAUGCGGCGCAUUAGGCAGUAGGCGGGGUAACGGCCCACCUAACCGACGAUGCGUAGGGGUUCUGAGAGGAAGGUCCCCCACACUGGUACUGAGACACGGACCAGACUCCUACGGGAGGCAGCAGUGAGGAAUAUUGGUCAAUGGUCGGGAGACUGAACCAGCCAAGCCGCGUGAGGGAGGAAGGUACAGAGUAUCGUAAACCUCUUUUGUCAGGGAACAAAGGCGGGGACGUGUCCCCGGAUGAGUGUACCUGAAGAAAAAGCAUCGGCUAACUCCGUGCCAGCAGCCGCGGUAAUACGGAGGAUGCGAGCGUUAUCCGGAUUUAUUGGGUUUAAAGGGUGCGCAGGCGGUCUGUUAAGUCAGCGGUCAAAGCCCGGGGCUCAACCCCGGCCCGCCGUUGAAACUGGCAGUCUCGAGUUGGAGAGAAGUAUGCGGAAUGCGCGGUGU